GAAGUGGUUCCAGUCGUCGGGACUCGGGUUAGUUAGUACGUUAUUGGUCUCGUCGUAGCAGGAACGCAUGAAAUCCAACUAGUACUGUGAAUGGUUAUGUUUAUAGCUGGAUCUUCACUAUUGAAUUUUGUUAUCUAAUGUGGGGUUUAUUCCACCGAUCUCUAACAUGAACACUAAACUCGGUAAUAUGAAGGUAAAAGCGAACGGUCUUGCCCAUGGAGAAAGAGGCCAGGUAAUUUAGGUUCAAGAGGUUCCCAGGCAGGACUAAGUGGGGAAACCAAAAUCGGCCAUAUAAUGUUCCUGUGCAUAGUACUGCGUUGUUUUUGACUUGAGACAAGCAUCGUACUACUUCGUUUGCAUCAGUAAAGGAAUGGAUAUGAAGAUUGUUCUUAGCUUUUAAUCAAAAUGUUGUACUUUGUAAAUGAAUUUAAAUUGAC
Long non-coding RNA from Macrobrachium nipponense, 437 nucleotides. RefSeq lists it as uncharacterized. The record is from RefSeq and is a predicted model, not a curated record. The transcript has 3 exons. NCBI's taxonomy places the organism in Eukaryota, Metazoa, Arthropoda, Malacostraca, Decapoda, Palaemonidae.